AGUGAACGCUGGCGGUAGGCCUAACACAUGCAAGUCGAACGGAAGCACAGUAAGAGUUUGCUCUUACGGGUGGCGAGUGGCGGACGGGUGAGGAAUACAUCGGCAUCUACUUUUUCGUGGGGGAUAACGUAGGGAAACUUACGCUAAUACCGCAUAUGUUCUACGGGUGAAAGCAGGGGAUCUUCGCACCUUGCGCGAUUGAAUGAGCCGAUGCCGGAUUAGCUAGUUGGCGGGGUAAAGGCCCACCAAGGCGACGCUCCGUAGCUGGUCUGAGAGGAUGAUCGGCCACACUGGAACUGAGACACGGUCCAGACUCCUACGGGAGGCAGCAGUGGGGAAUAUUGGACAAUGGGCGCAAGCCUGAUCCAGCCAUACCGCGUGGGUGAAGAAGGCCUUCGGGUUGUAAAGCCCUUUUGUUGGGAAAGAAAAGCAGCAGGUUAAUACCCCGCUGUUCUGACGGUACCCAAAGAAUAAGCACCGGCUAACUUCGUG
This 492-nucleotide ribosomal RNA is filed under the name uncultured bacterium. RNAcentral's name for it is "partial 16S ribosomal RNA". It matches the Rfam family "Bacterial small subunit ribosomal RNA", at positions 29 to 507 of the family's 1533-position model. The record is from RNAcentral.